CUGUACCUCAAGCCCGGCUUGUGUGUUGGGCCCACCGUCCCAUGGACGGUGACCCGAAAGGCAGUGGCGGCGUCGCGUCCCGGUCCUUGAAGCGUAUGGGGCUUUGUCACCCGCUUGGAGGCCCGGCCGACCCCGUAGCCCAUCGUGGAUCUUCCACAAUUUUUUUCU
This 168-nucleotide unclassified non-coding RNA is filed under the name uncultured Rasamsonia. Its description in RNAcentral is "sequence contains ITS2". The record is from RNAcentral. Lineage: Eukaryota; Fungi; Ascomycota; Eurotiomycetes; Eurotiales; Trichocomaceae.